AGGCUGGGAGUUGGACUCAGUGGUUUCUUGAGAUCCCUUCCAACCCCUGUGAUUCUGUGGAAGGAAAUGCCAAACCUGGUCCUGCAAAAGAAGUUGUUAAGAAUAGCCCUGGUGGUUGUAAACCUCUGGCAUGGACUGAUCAAAGUAAUGAGCCUCAGUCUGUAAAAAUCAGGAGGGAUGAUUCUGUUCCCAUCAGCAGGAAAAUAUUAUGGAAGCCUGGCAGCAUCUCAGGAAGCCUCUGCAGAAAGAUUUCUGAGUUUCCCACCCAGCAAUGCAUUCAGGAAAGGACACGCCAAACCUGCCCUAAAUUCCCGGAC
Molecule: long non-coding RNA, 317 nt
Filed under: Gallus gallus (chicken)
Lineage: Eukaryota; Metazoa; Chordata; Aves; Galliformes; Phasianidae
Description: lncRNA (ENSGALG00010020650.1)
Source: RNAcentral